Molecule: ribosomal RNA, 239 nt
Filed under: Bacillus sp. MRMR6
Lineage: Bacteria; Bacillati; Bacillota; Bacilli; Caryophanales; Bacillaceae
Description: partial 16S ribosomal RNA
Rfam family: Bacterial small subunit ribosomal RNA
Source: RNAcentral
GGCUGCAACUCGCCUACAUGAAGCCGGAAUCGCUAGUAAUCGCGGAUCAGCAUGCCGCGGUGAAUACGUUCCCGGGCCUUGUACACACCGCCCGUCACACCACGAGAGUUUGUAACACCCGAAGUCGGUGGGGUAACCGUAAGGAGCCAGCCGCCUAAGGUGGGACAGAUGAUUGGGGUGAAGUCGUAACAAGGUAGCCGUAUCGGAAGGUGCGGCUGGAUCACCUCCUUUCUAAGGAA